This is a microRNA precursor of Pan paniscus (pygmy chimpanzee), 57 nucleotides long. The record is from Ensembl. NCBI's taxonomy places the organism in Eukaryota, Metazoa, Chordata, Mammalia, Primates, Hominidae.
AAAGUAAUAGCAGUUUUUACCAUUAUUUUCAGUGGCAAAAACUGCAAUUACUUUUGC